Otolemur garnettii (small-eared galago) is the source of this 160-nucleotide small nuclear RNA. Its record names the gene U1. It matches the Rfam family "U1 spliceosomal RNA". From Rfam's summary of the family: U1 is a small nuclear RNA (snRNA) component of the spliceosome (involved in pre-mRNA splicing). NCBI's taxonomy places the organism in Eukaryota, Metazoa, Chordata, Mammalia, Primates, Galagidae. The record is from Ensembl.
ACACCUGGCAGGGGAGAUCCCAUGAUCACAAAGGUGGUUUUCCUAGGGCAAGGCUUAUCCAUUGUGCUCCAGAUGUUUUGACCCCUGAGAUUUCCCCAAAUGUGGAAAACUGGACUGCAUAAUUUGUGGUAGUAGGGGACUGUGUUCACACUUUCCCCUG